Molecule: ribosomal RNA, 484 nt
Filed under: uncultured bacterium
Lineage: Bacteria
Description: bacterial SSU rRNA
Rfam family: Bacterial small subunit ribosomal RNA
Source: RNAcentral
GACGAACGCUGGCGGCGUGCUUUACACAUGCAAGUCGAGCGGUAAGGCUCCUUCGGGAGUACACGAGCGGCGAACGGGUGAGUAACACGUGAGCAAUCUGCCCUUCACACCGGGAUAACCCUCGGAAACGAGAGCUAAUACCGGAUACGACCACUUCGGGCAUCCGAUGGUGGUGGAAAGCUCCGGCGGUGAAGGAUGAGCUCGCGGCCUAUCAGCUUGUUGGUGAGGUAGUGGCUCACCAAGGCUUCGACGGGUAGCCGGCCUGAGAGGGUGACCGGCCACACUGGGACUGAGACACGGCCCAGACUCCUACGGGAGGCAGCAGUGGGGAAUAUUGGACAAUGGGCGCAAGCCUGAUCCAGCAACGCCGCGUGAGGGAUGACGGCCUUCGGGUUGUAAACCUCUUUCAGCGGGGACGAAGCGCAAGUGACGGUACCCGCAGAAGAAGCACCGGCCAACUACGUGCCAGCCGCCGCGGUAACAC